AGAGUUUGAUCAUGGCUCAGGACGAACGCUGGCGGCGUGCUUAACACAUGCAAGUCGAACGGAGCACCCUUGAUUGAGGUUUCGGCCAAAUGAUAGGAAUGCUUAGUGGCGGACUGGUGAGUAACGCGUGAGGAACCUGCCUUCCAGAGGGGGACAACAGUUGGAAACGACUGCUAAUACCGCAUGACGCAUGACCGGGGCAUCCCGGACAUGCCAAAGA
This 220-nucleotide ribosomal RNA is filed under the name uncultured bacterium. Its description in RNAcentral is "partial 16S ribosomal RNA". It matches the Rfam family "Bacterial small subunit ribosomal RNA", at positions 8 to 207 of the family's 1533-position model. The record is from RNAcentral.